This 440-nucleotide ribosomal RNA is filed under the name uncultured bacterium. RNAcentral describes it as "bacterial SSU rRNA". It matches the Rfam family "Bacterial small subunit ribosomal RNA", at positions 338 to 770 of the family's 1533-position model. The record is from RNAcentral.
CCUACGGGUGGCAGCAGUGGGGAAUUUUGGACAAUGGGCGCAAGCCUGAUCCAGCAAUGCCGCGUGUGUGAAGAAGGCCUUCGGGUUGUAAAGCACUUUUGUCCGGAAAGAAAACCUCGUGGCUAAUAUCCGUGAGGGAUGACGGUACCGGAAGAAUAAGCACCGGCUAACUACGUGCCAGCAGCCGCGGUAAUACGUAGGGUGCGAGCGUUAAUCGGAAUUACUGGGCGUAAAGCGUGCGCAGGCGGUGAUGUAAGACCGAUGUGAAAUCCCCGGGCUUAACCUGGGAACUGCAUUGGUGACUGCAUCGCUCGAGUAUGGCAGAGGGGGGUAGAAUUCCACGUGUAGCAGUGAAAUGCGUAGAGAUGUGGAGGAAUACCGAUGGCGAAGGCAGCCCCCUGGGUCAAUACUGACGCUCAUGCACGAAAGCGUGGGGAGCA